UGUAAGCGUAUACCAAAGUUGUUGCAGUUAAAACGCUCGUAGUCGGAAUUUGGCAGUUCCGGAUGUGUGCACGUCGUGUGCGCACUUCGCGGGGAUUGCUUUUGUGGUCUUGCGUAGGAUGAGGCACUUUUAUUAGUGAACGUCCUCACGCAACCACUUUUUACUGUGAGAAAAUCAGAGUGCUCAAAGCAGGCAUUUGCCGUGAAUGUAUUAGCAUGGAAUAAUAGAAUAGGACUUGGUUCUAUUUUGUUGGUUUGUUGUGACUGAGUAAUGAUUAAGAGGGACAGUUGGGGGCAUUUGUAUUUCGGUGCUAGAGGUGAAAUUCUUAGAUUACCGAAAGACAAACUGCUGCGAAAGCGUCUGCCAAGGAUGUUUUCAUUGA
RNAcentral lists this ribosomal RNA (382 nucleotides) under uncultured eukaryote. RNAcentral describes it as "partial 18S ribosomal RNA". It matches the Rfam family "Eukaryotic small subunit ribosomal RNA", at positions 592 to 976 of the family's 1831-position model. The record is from RNAcentral.